CCUACGGGUGGCAGCAGUGGGGAAUAUUGGACAAUGGGGGCAACCCUGAUCCAGCCAUGCCGCGUGUGUGAAGAAGGCCCUCGGGUUGUAAAGCACUUUCAGUGAGGAAGAACGCCUGGUGGUUAAUACCCAUCAGGAAAGACAUCACUCACAGAAGAAGCACCGGCUAACUCCGUGCCAGCGGCCGCGGUAAUACGGAGGGUGCGAGCGUUAAUCGGAAUUACUGGGCGUAAAGCGCGCGUAGGUGGCUUGAUAAGCCGGUUGUGAAAGCCCCGGGCUCAACCUGGGAACGGCAUCCGGAACUGUCAAGCUAGAGUGCAGGAGAGGAAGGUAGAAUUCCCGGUGUAGCGGUGAAAUGCGUAGAGAUCGGGAGGAAUACCAGUGGCGAAGGCGGCCUUCUGGACUGACACUGACACUGAGGUGCGAAAGCGUGGGUAGCAAACAGGAUUAGAUACCCUAGUAGUC
This 465-nucleotide ribosomal RNA is filed under the name Vreelandella stevensii. RNAcentral describes it as "partial 16S ribosomal RNA". It matches the Rfam family "Bacterial small subunit ribosomal RNA", at positions 338 to 795 of the family's 1533-position model. Lineage: Bacteria; Pseudomonadati; Pseudomonadota; Gammaproteobacteria; Oceanospirillales; Halomonadaceae. The record is from RNAcentral.